Long non-coding RNA from Syngnathus acus (greater pipefish), 3548 nucleotides. RefSeq lists it as uncharacterized. The transcript is spliced from 3 exons. The record is from RefSeq and is a predicted model, not a curated record. NCBI's taxonomy places the organism in Eukaryota, Metazoa, Chordata, Actinopteri, Syngnathiformes, Syngnathidae.
UGAAAAGCACUUCAGUGUUUCACAAAUCUCGUCAAGAUUCGCCCAAAGACUUCGUUUCAUUGAGUGUUCAGUUCCUCCAAUCUAUAGAAACGACGGACACAGUAAAGUGAUGGAAAAGUUGCCACCUACAGUCAAGGAGGCGGAGCGGACUGCUUGUAAUUGGAAGAAGACCCUCCCGCCUUCUUCCGGACACACCGUCUUCAGUUCCUCUCGGGUCAUGCUCAGUAGCAUGGAGCCGCUCAGCACGGCCAGACAGCGCACCGUGCUGCAAGCACAGAAGAACAAGAGCAAAUCAGACGUCUGAGGUCUUGGAGGUCGCAAAGGUUCAACUAUGAUGGAGGCCAUCUCCUCCUCCUCUUCCUUCAGCUCCUCCUCGUCCUUGAGCUCCUCUUCCUCCUCCUGGUCAUCAACAUCCUUCCGAGCUAUAACCAGGUGAGUGUCCUCUAAACGGGCAACCAAAACCAGAUUUAAACAAAUAUAUCUCAUUACUAUUGUCAACGCAGCCUCACCAUUGUAAUCAGGAGGGGCCCACUCGGGAGUUUGCUCUUUGGGUUCAAUUUUACUUUGGGUUUCAGGUUCUUCAUGUAAUGCACUGUCGAGUCAAAAUUGUCACCGCAUUCAAAUCCAAAGAAUACCCAAUGAGCGGGUUUUAUUGCUCCUACCUUAAACGUGCUUUUGAAAUACCCCUUUGGACGUAGUCAGCCUGGAAACAAGACAUGAAAUUUCAUUAUCAGGUUGGUAGUCUGAAUUAGUUGUGUUGGAGGAAUGAAACGUGUAAAAUAAAUAAUAAAAUAAGCGUGGAGAAAACCCGCAGACCACUCGUGGCCCUCGUGCCACACUUUGAGAACCACUCGAAAGGCUUAUCGGAUGGGGUCUUAAUUCUCACCCUGACAUCUUCGCAGUGGAACAGGAAGACACUUGUCAUGUGUUUCUUGUUUGCUUUGACCGUCAUUGCCAGGAGUGAGUUUGAAGCAGAUGUGUCCAACACAGCCUUCAGCUCCACGAUGUCACCUAGAUGAAUAGACUCCAGCACCUCCUGAGAGAAAGUCCAACAUUGUUAUCCUGUGAUGAAAAGCCCGAUAGAAAAUAGAUGGAUUCCGCACGAGCGCCUGCAAGUGACCUUGGUCUCUAUGUCGGUGAGCAGCAGGUCAGGCUCUUUGACCUCCAGCAGCAUGUUCUGGCCCCAUACUCGGCUCAUCUUGUCGAGCAGAUUGAGCCUGUCCACACAGUCUGCGAGGCCUCGCAGCUCCUUGCCAUCCAGGUCGCAUGUGAGGAGAUGCUGACAAGCAACAACAACAUCAAAUUAUCCCCUUAAGACCUUUGAUCAAUUUUAAUAGCUUUUCAGGUUGAUCGUGGCCAAUUGUAGAUAUAUUUUAGAUUGCUGACAAAAUCAGUCAAAAAUCACCAGCCUUGGUGAAAUUUCAUCACACUUGCAUUAACACUUCUAUAAUACUGUAAAGGUAGCGAGGAGGAUAAACAUAGCUAGCUUAGAGCCUUGCUGGUAAACAUGACUCUGGACCUUACCUCCACUCUGUAAUGGAAAUACUUUAUGGUCUUGGUCACGGAGGCGGCGUACUCCUUCCUUCGCACUGUCGAAACAGUGGAUCAUGAAAGUGAUCCCACAUCGCUCAAAUUGUACGGUGCGGUUACUUACUGUAUAUCGACCUUGCACUGGGCCUCGACAUACAUGACACCUGCGAUGACACCUCGUCUGUGACCGAGUUGCCACUGUCACAACAAAGAGCAAAUACUGGAGGCCAUUGGUAGAAAAGGUUCUCACGCCUUGUGGUUACAUUUUACUUCAAUUUAACAUGAGCUGAACUCAAAUAUUUUUUAACAAACAAAAGUCCUAUAUUUCUUUCAACUAUUGAAAUCUGUUUGCAAGCACUCCCCUUUUGACAAGGCAACACCUCCACCACACGGACGUGGCAUGUUAAGAUGCUGAUUAGAAAGCACGAUUAUGACUUAGGCGUGCCUUCGGGCCUUUCUGAAAUGUGCGGUUUAGGCACACGUCAUUUUUUUCAAGUGUAGGAAAAUUCAACUCCUGUACUCGUGUUACAGUUAAAAAAAAAAGACAGGACCUGUACUUAGUACAGUGAAGUAUUUGUCGUUACUUUGUACAUUUGCUCAAGGUUGACUGUGGGCAUUAUGAUAAAAUAAUGGACAGGAUGACGCACAUACUUGGACAGGACGGAUCCGGCAUAACUGCUGGUGUCAUUCGCCAGUGAACUGUCGCUCCGGAACAUCCUCACGCACACACCUGUCGUGUCGCAUGAAUGUCAUAAAACAAGGUAGCGUUAUAGUAUUGUAUGGUACUAUAUUUAGUUUUUACGCCUUAUUAUAGAAAAACCUUAACGGAUCCAAAAUCCAAAGUUCUAAUUGAAUUUCUGUUUUACUCAGGUCCACAUAUAAUUAUUUGCCAAGGUAAAAAAUGCUAACACUAAUGUUAAAAUAAACACUGAUUAAUACUUGUAUUGAUUUCUUUUGUAAUUUUCAACAUCCAUUCAGGUUCACGGAACGCUUUAAACAGACUUUCUUUUAUUUCAGUGAGCACUCAACAUUUUAGUAUUUUAUGCAGCAAUAAAGAACUUCCAACUGAAUCACCUUUUACAACCAAAAUUACCAUUAUGUCAACAAAUAUAGAUCCAAAAAUACAGAUACAAAACUACCAGCAUCACUUGGGUUCUUGUAAUUCUGUUAUAGUUAAAAGAUACACUUUGGAAUAUACUGUAUAAACAAAGUUUAGGAAAUUUUCAGUGUUCUUACCUUUUGUGUUGAAUGCAAUUUAAGAUCUGCCGUAUGGAAUAUUUAAAAUCCAGCUCAAAUUCCAAGUCAUAGUUUGAGCAAACACUUAAGACCUUCCCAUAAAGACAGAGCACAAAGUCCAGAUGCUGUGACACAACGAAUGUGUGGAAGAAGUGAGUUGCAUUUCCCAGUGUGGUAUCCCGCCUGGGCAAAGGUUAGACUAGAUAUGAAAACAUAUUGUGGAGAUGACAUGUUUAAUAGUUGCCAAGGCGAUAAGUUCACUUGCGCGGUCUAAUCAACUUGACAGCUUUCUGUGAUAAUUGGGAUUGUGAAUAAAAGCACAAGCCCAUUUAUCAAAAUUAAAUUUUGAAAAUUAUUUAUUAAGUAUAUUGCUUAAUGAUGUCUCCCCAGUGAUAAAGCUGUGAUUGCCUUAGAAUGUUGUAGAAGUGAUCAUUUGAAAAUAGAACACUAUACUAUGAUUACUUGUGCUUACACUGUUCAACCACUAGAGCGCACCAGUGAGGCACCGCUAUAUUUAGAGAUUUUGGCAACAUAAAUUGGAUCUGUUAUCGGUCAACUUUCACACAGUAAACAAAGGCGAUGUGUUGAAGUCAAAGUAAUCCAUGAAAUUAAAGCGAGUGUGACGUUUUUUAUUGUACAUAAAAUCAGAGCGUAAAAAGGCACCACUGAACACCUCACCGAUGCAAUAGCGUCCAUCUCAGAGCCAUAAAAUGGAAUGAUGCUUUUUUUUUUUUUGCAUACAAAUAGUGGAUUAAAAAUAUCUGUAAAAACACACACUGAAU